This 460-nucleotide ribosomal RNA is filed under the name uncultured archaeon. Its description in RNAcentral is "bacterial SSU rRNA". It matches the Rfam family "Archaeal small subunit ribosomal RNA", at positions 385 to 845 of the family's 1478-position model. The record is from RNAcentral.
UGCCACUCUUAACGGGGUGGCUUUUCAGAAGUGUAAAAAGCUUUUGGAAUAAGGGCUGGGCAAGACCGGUGCCAGCCACCGCGGUAACACCGGCAGCUCAAGUGGUAGCCGCUUUUAUUGGGCCUAAAGCGUCCGUAGCCGGUCUGAUAAGUCUCUGGUGAAAUCCCACAGCUUAACUGUGGGAAUUGCUGGAGAUACUAUCAUGACUCGAGGUCGGGAGAGGCUGGAGGUACUCCCAGGGUAGGGGUGAAAUCCUGUAAUCCUGGGAGGACCACCUGUGGCGAAGGCGUCCAGCUGGAACGAACCUGACGGUGAGGGACGAAAGCCAGGGGCGCGAACCGGAUUAGAUACCCGGGUAGUCCUGGCCGUAAACGAUGUGGACUUGGUGUUGAGAUGGCUUCGAGCUGCCCCAGUGCCGAAGGGAAGCUGUUAAGUCCACCGCCUGGGAAGUACGGCCGCA